This 405-nucleotide ribosomal RNA is filed under the name Acidobacteriota bacterium. Its description in RNAcentral is "Acidobacteria bacterium partial 16S ribosomal RNA". It matches the Rfam family "Bacterial small subunit ribosomal RNA", at positions 355 to 776 of the family's 1533-position model. Lineage: Bacteria; Pseudomonadati; Acidobacteriota. The record is from RNAcentral.
UGGGGGAUAUUGCGCAAUGGGGGCAACCCUGACGCAGCAACGCCGCGUGAAGGAUGAAGGAUUUCGGAUUGUAAACUUCUUUUAUUAAGGACGAAAAAUGACGGUACUUAAUGAAUAAGCUCCGGCUAACUACGUGCCAGCAGCCGCGGGAAUACGUAGGGAGCAAGCGUUGUCCGGAUUUACUGGGUGUAAAGGGUGCGUAGGCGGCUUUGCAAGUCAGAUGUGAAAUCUAUGGGCUCAACCCAUAAACUGCAUUUGAAACUGUAGAGCUUGAGUGAAGUAGAGGCAGGCGGAAUUCCCCGUGUAGCGGUGAAAUGCGUAGAGAUGGGGAGGAACACCAGUGGCGAAGGCGGCCUGCUGGGCUUUAACUGACGCUGAGGCACGAAAGCGUGGGUAGCAAACAGG